Molecule: ribosomal RNA, 676 nt
Filed under: uncultured Bacteroidota bacterium
Lineage: Bacteria; Pseudomonadati; Bacteroidota
Description: bacterial SSU rRNA
Rfam family: Bacterial small subunit ribosomal RNA
Source: RNAcentral
UUUGAUGGCGACCGGCAAACGGGUGCGGAACACGUACACAACCAUUCCUUUAAGUGGGGAAUAGCCCAGAGAAAUUUGGAUUAAUACCCCGUAACAUUGCGAUGUGGCAUCACAUUGCAAUUAUAGCUUCGGCGCUUAAUGAUGGGUGUGCGUAUGAUUAGAUAGUUGGCGAGGUAACGGCUCACCAAGUCUACGAUCAUUAGCUGAUGUGAGAGCAUGAUCAGCCACACGGGCACUGAGACACGGGCCCGACUCCUACGGGAGGCAGCAGUAAGGAAUAUUGGUCAAUGGACGCAAGUCUGAACCAGCCAUGCCGCGUGAAGGAUUAAGGUCCUCUGGAUUGUAAACUUCUUUUAUAUGGGACGAAAACAGACCUUUCUAGGUCCUUUGACGGUACCAUAUGAAUAAGCACCGGCUAACUCCGUGCCAGCAGCCGCGGUAAUACGGAGGGUGCAAGCGUUAUCCGGAUUCACUGGGUUUAAAGGGUGCGUAGGCGGGUAGGUAAGUCAGUGGUGAAAUCCUGGAGCUCAACUCCAGAACUGCCAUUGAUACUAUCUAUCUUGAAUAUUGUGGAGGUAAGCGGAAUAUGUCAUGUAGCGGUGAAAUGCUUAGAUAUGACAUAGAACACCCAUUGCGAAGGCAGCUUACUACGCAUAUAUUGACGCUGAGGCACGAA